GACGAAGGAUCUGGUCCGGGAUGGGGGUGCACAUCUCCACAAGUUAAAAUAGCAGAGGCCGUGCAACAAAAUGUUGCUGUGGUAUUUGAAUAAUACGAGAUACAGCUCCUCAUCCAUCUUAUCUUCUUUGUUCUCAAUGUAACACAGGCCUUGUGGGCGGUAUAAAGGACUCACUAGUAAUGCUGUCCCUAGGGAUGGUCGUUUGGUAUAUGCAAAUAUGAGACACGGUGGUAGUUACRAACGUCCAAGAGAUGUUCGGCUGGUGAUUCAACUCCAGAAGCAGCGGAAAAAGCAACAAAAUUGUAGAGCUCAAAAGAACACGUCCGAUCAUGUUUCACGUCACGUGUCUUCGUGGAAAGAAAGACUUGCAAAUUUGUAGAGGUGGAUUUGAGGAUGUUAUUUUAAAUGCACUGGAAAUAGUUUCAUCAGUGAGUAACAGUAACAGGAAAUAAAUAAGUAUAUUUUUCAAUAAU
This is a long non-coding RNA of Actinia tenebrosa (Australian red waratah sea anemone), 473 nucleotides long. Lineage: Eukaryota; Metazoa; Cnidaria; Anthozoa; Actiniaria; Actiniidae. The record is from RefSeq and is a predicted model, not a curated record.